This 2469-nucleotide ribosomal RNA is filed under the name Campylobacter jejuni. RNAcentral's name for it is "partial 23S ribosomal RNA". It matches the Rfam family "Bacterial large subunit ribosomal RNA", at positions 614 to 2925 of the family's 2925-position model. Lineage: Bacteria; Pseudomonadati; Campylobacterota; Epsilonproteobacteria; Campylobacterales; Campylobacteraceae. The record is from RNAcentral.
AAUGAGCCUGCGAGUUGUGGUGUCUGGCAAGGUUAAGCAAACGCGAAGCCGUAGCGAAAGCGAGUCUGAAUAGGGCGCUUAGUCAGAUGCUGCAGACCCGAAACGAAGUGAUCUAUCCAUGAGCAAGUUGAAGCUAGUGUAAGAACUAGUGGAGGACUGAACCCAUAGGCGUUGAAAAGCCCCGGGAUGACUUGUGGAUAGGGGUGAAAGGCCAAUCAAACUUCGUGAUAGCUGGUUCUCUCCGAAAUAUAUUUAGGUAUAGCGUUGUGUCGUAAUAUAAGGGGGUAGAGCACUGAAUGGGCUAGGGCAUACACCAAUGUACCAAACCCUAUCAAACUCCGAAUACCUUAUAUGUAAUCACAGCAGUCAGGCGGCGAGUGAUAAAAUCCGUCGUCAAGAGGGAAACAACCCAGACUACCAGCUAAGGUCCCUAAAUCUUACUUAAGUGGAAAACGAUGUGAAGUUACUUAAACAACCAGGAGGUUGGCUUAGAAGCAGCCAUCCUUUAAAGAAAGCGUAAUAGCUCACUGGUCUAGUGAUUUUGCGCGGAAAAUAUAACGGGGCUAAAGUAAGUACCGAAGCUGUAGACUUGCACACAACUUAGAUUAUUUAAGUUUAGAAUAUGAGAAACUAAGUUAUAUGUUUAGUUAUAUUUUUACUGAUUUUUAUAGAGUAAAGAUAGAAAUAAAACUUAGUAAAAUCAGUAAAAAUAUUCUUAGACUAAAGUUAAGUAGUUUAAGUUGUGUGCAAGUGGUAGGAGAGCGUUCUAUUUGCGUCGAAGGUAUACCGGUAAGGAGUGCUGGAGCGAAUAGAAGUGAGCAUGCAGGCAUGAGUAGCGAUAAUUAAUGUGAGAAUCAUUAACGCCGUAAACCCAAGGUUUCCUACGCGAUGCUCGUCAUCGUAGGGUUAGUCGGGUCCUAAGUCGAGUCCGAAAGGGGUAGACGAUGGCAAAUUGGUUAAUAUUCCAAUACCAACAUUAGUGUGCGAUGGAAGGACGCUUAGGGCUAAGGGGGCUAGCGGAUGGAAGUGCUAGUCUAAGGUCGUAGGAGGUUAUACAGGCAAAUCCGUAUAACAAUACUCCGAGAACUGAAAGGCUUUUUGAAGUCUUCGGAUGGAUAGAAGAACCCCUGAUGCCGUCGAGCCAAGAAAAGUUUCUAAGUUUAGCUAAUGUUGCCCGUACCGUAAACCGACACAGGUGGGUGGGAUGAGUAUUCUAAGGCGCGUGGAAGAACUCUCUUUAAGGAACUCUGCAAAAUAGCACCGUAUCUUCGGUAUAAGGUGUGGUUAGCUUUGUAUUAGGAUUUACUCCGAAAGCAAGGAAACUUACAACAAAGAGUCCCUCCCGACUGUUUACCAAAAACACAGCACUCUGCUAACUCGUAAGAGGAUGUAUAGGGUGUGACGCCUGCCCGGUGCUCGAAGGUUAAUUGAUGGGGUUAGCAUUAGCGAAGCUCUUGAUCGAAGCCCGAGUAAACGGCGGCCGUAACUAUAACGGUCCUAAGGUAGCGAAAUUCCUUGUCGGUUAAAUACCGACCUGCAUGAAUGGCGUAACGAGAUGGGAGCUGUCUCAAAGAGGGAUCCAGUGAAAUUGUAGUGGAGGUGAAAAUUCCUCCUACCCGCGGCAAGACGGAAAGACCCCGUGGACCUUUACUACAGCUUGACACUGCUACUUGGAUAAGAAUGUGCAGGAUAGGUGGGAGGCUUUGAGUAUAUGACGCCAGUUGUAUAUGAGCCAUUGUUGAGAUACCACUCUUUCUUAUUUGGGUAGCUAACCAGCUUGAGUUAUCCUCAAGUGGGACAAUGUCUGGUGGGUAGUUUGACUGGGGCGGUCGCCUCCCAAAUAAUAACGGAGGCUUACAAAGGUUGGCUCAGAACGGUUGGAAAUCGUUCGUAGAGUAUAAAGGUAUAAGCCAGCUUAACUGCAAGACAUACAAGUCAAGCAGAGACGAAAGUCGGUCUUAGUGAUCCGGUGGUUCUGUGUGGAAGGGCCAUCGCUCAAAGGAUAAAAGGUACCCCGGGGAUAACAGGCUGAUCUCCCCCAAGAGCUCACAUCGACGGGGAGGUUUGGCACCUCGAUGUCGGCUCAUCGCAUCCUGGGGCUGGAGCAGGUCCCAAGGGUAUGGCUGUUCGCCAUUUAAAGCGGUACGCGAGCUGGGUUCAGAACGUCGUGAGACAGUUCGGUCCCUAUCUGCCGUGGGCGUAAGAAGAUUGAAGAGAUUUGACCCUAGUACGAGAGGACCGGGUUGAACAAACCACUGGUGUAGCUGUUGUUCUGCCAAGAGCAUCGCAGCGUAGCUAAGUUUGGAAAGGAUAAACGCUGAAAGCAUCUAAGCGUGAAGCCAACUCUAAGAUGAAUCUUCUCUAAGCUCUCUAGAAGACUACUAGUUUGAUAGGCUGGGUGUGUAAUGGAUGAAAGUCCUUUAGCUGACCAGUACUAAUAGAGCGUUUGGCUUAUCUUUAAUAAAGCAU